Molecule: ribosomal RNA, 830 nt
Filed under: uncultured bacterium
Lineage: Bacteria
Description: bacterial SSU rRNA
Rfam family: Bacterial small subunit ribosomal RNA
Source: RNAcentral
GAGUUUGAUCCUGGCUCAGGAUGAACGCUAGCGGCAGGCCUAAUACAUGCAAGUCGAACGGUUGGCAGCAAUGCCAAUAGUGGCGCACGGGUGCGUAACGCGUAACCAACCUACCCUGGACUGGGGGAUAGCCCGCCGAAAGGCGGAUUAAUACCGCAUAACACCACAGCCCGGCAUCGGGUAAUGGUUAAAGAUUUAUUGGUCCAGGAUGGGGUUGCGAGCCAUUAGCUAGUUGGGGGGGUAACGACCCACCAAGGCGACGAUGGCUAGGGGAGCUGAGAGGCUGGUCCCCCACACGGGCACUGAGAUACGGGCCCGACUCCUACGGGAGGCAGCAGUAGGGAAUAUUGGGCAAUGGCCGAGAGGCUGACCCAGCCAUGCCGCGUGCAGGACGAAGGCUUUCUGAGUCGUAAACUGCUUUUGCCAGGGAAGAAUAAGGGUCGUGCGCGGCCCGACGACGGUACCUGGUGAAUAAGCACCGGCUAACUCCGUGCCAGCAGCCGCGGUAAUACGGAGGGUGCAAGCGUUGUCCGGAUUUAUUGGGUUUAAAGGGUGCGUAGGCGGCUUUUUAAGUCUGGGGUGAAAGCCCGUUGCUCAACAACGGAACUGCCCCGGAAACUGGAGAGCUUGAGUACAGACGAGGGCGGCGGAAUGGAGGGUGUAGCGGUGAAAUGCAUAGAUACCCUCCAGAACCCCGAUUGCGAAGGCAGCUGCCUAGACUGUAACUGACGCUGAGGCACGAAAGCGUGGGGAGCGAACAGGAUUAGAUACCCUGGUAGUCCACGCCGUAAACGAUGGAUACUCGCUGCCGGCGAUACAAUGUCGGUGGC